GCUUGCAACACAAACUAGAAACAGGUUCCAGAACAGAAUAAAAUAGAACAGAGUGACAAUUCACUUUAAGUUCAUAGGUCAGCCACUUUAAAGUUUAUUGGUUUUCAUAAGAUUUUGGACACAUCCUCGAAGUGUGAAUAAACAUACCAAUCUCUAGAACUGAAAUUUACUUGAUGCUGGUAUUCAAAGCCGUUGGCCAAUACUCUAUUUAUUGAAAUAUCUAAC
Molecule: non-coding RNA, 225 nt
Organism: Pelobates cultripes (western spadefoot toad)
Lineage: Eukaryota; Metazoa; Chordata; Amphibia; Anura; Pelobatidae
Source: the annotation of a GenBank genome assembly